Molecule: microRNA precursor, 125 nt
Filed under: Hordeum vulgare
Lineage: Eukaryota; Viridiplantae; Streptophyta; Magnoliopsida; Poales; Poaceae
Description: microRNA MIR1122
Rfam family: MIR1120/MIR1122 microRNA precursor family
Source: RNAcentral
AUGAUACUCUCUUCGUCCCAAAAUUCUUGUCUUAGCUUUGUCUAGAAAUGGAUGUAUCUAAAUACUAAAUUUGACUGUAUCUAAACAAAUAUAAGACAAGAAUUUUGGGACGGAGGGAGUACUUU